This 497-nucleotide ribosomal RNA is filed under the name uncultured bacterium. Its description in RNAcentral is "partial 16S ribosomal RNA". It matches the Rfam family "Bacterial small subunit ribosomal RNA", at positions 28 to 507 of the family's 1533-position model. The record is from RNAcentral.
GAUGAACGCUGGCGGCGUGCCUAAUACAUGCAAGUCGAGCGAACGGACGAGAAGCUUGCUUCUCUGAUGUUAGCGGCGGACGGGUGAGUAACACGUGGAUAACCUACCUAUAAGACUGGGAUAACUUCGGGAAACCGGAGCUAAUACCGGAUAAUAUUUUGAACCGCAUGGUUCAAAAGUGAAAGACGGUCUUGCUGUCUCGUAUAGAUGGAUCCGCGCUGCAUUAGCUAGUUGGUAAGGUAACGGCUUACCAAGGCAACGAUGCAUAGCCGACCUGAGAGGGUGAGCGGCCACACUGGAACUGAGACACGGUCCAGACUCCUACGGGAGGCAGCAGUAGGGAAUCUUCCGCAAUGGGCGAAAGCCUGACGGAGCAACGCCGCGUGAGUGAUGAAGGUCUUCGGAUCGUAAAACUCUGUUAUUAGGGAAGAACAUAUGUGUAAGUAACUGUGCACAUCUUGGCGGUACCUAAUCAGAAAGCCACGGCUAACUACGUG